UUUUUUUAUUGCACACUUUGGAUGUUGGCACAGACUAUUUGCUGCCUCAUAGACACAUUAUGACAUGAAAGAAAGUGACCAGAGUCAGGAUUAAAUACUACAUUUAAAGGUAGAAAACACUGUAUCUCAUACUUGUCUAUUCUGUGACUAGUAUGUCAGUAUAUCUAUACCUAUAAUACACCCACUCCAAGCACAUUUGCUGAUGUUUUUAAAAACAUCUUUUCCUGUCCUACAUAAUUCUUUAAAACUUCUCUAUUAUCCUCUUUGGGGAGUGAGGACUUUCAAACCAAAAAACCUGGAUUUACCAGUCAGUUCUGCUACUUGACAGUUUAUAGUAUUUUAUUAUUACAUCUCUGAUCCUAGGAUUUCCUAUCUAUAAAUUGGGGUAUUGGGUAACAUUAUCUACCACGCAGGUUUUUAUUAGUUUGAAAUGAAGCCCAUAUUGAGUGACACAGUGCCUGGCACAAAGCAUGCCAUCACCACAUCUCUGUUGCAAUUAUAUUUGUUACUAACUUAGGACAAAGGGAUAUUUAAAUUAUUUUAUCUAUUUGUAAAUAUAAUCCAUAUACAUUUACCUUUAUAGGUAAUGCUUAAAUAAGAUUUGGUUUAUUUAUUUAGUUAGUUAGAUGUGUUAAACAUUUUCACCAAUCUCAUAUGCUUGAUAAUCUUGUUCUUCCUCUAGAAUUUUUAAUGCUAUUUUGUUUGGUCUAUCACUUACAUUUUCUCAUCAUCUCCACCAGUCAAUAUCAUUUAUCUGCUCCUAUAAUAACAUUAAUUUUUUUCAACAAAGGUUUGAAGUCCAUCUUAUUAAGCAAUAAAGAUCCCUCAAGUAAUAAUCCUUUUUAUUUUUCAGUACUGGGCAUUGAACUCAGGGAUGCUCUACCACUGAGGUACCUCCCCAUGGUUUUCAUUUCUUCUUUUGAGACAGGUUCUCACUAAAUUGCCCAAGGUGUCCUAAAUCUUGGUUCCUUCUGCUUCAGCAUCCCAAACUGCUAGUAUAAAAGGCAUGUGCAAUGGUCCCCAGCUUUUCUUUUAAAAGAUUACUUAGUUACUAUAGACCAAUCUGAAUUUUUAUUUCAAUUAAAAAGAAUUAUAAAAUUACCUUAAGAUUGAUAAAUUUAGUAUGUUAGCACAUACCAAUUAAGAGCAUGAAAACAAGUUAAUUUACCAAAUCUUAUGUUCUUU
This 1185-nucleotide long non-coding RNA is filed under the name Marmota monax (woodchuck). The record is from RNAcentral. Lineage: Eukaryota; Metazoa; Chordata; Mammalia; Rodentia; Sciuridae.